RNAcentral lists this long non-coding RNA (332 nucleotides) under Olea europaea (common olive). RNAcentral's name for it is "long non-coding RNA (OEUR_LNC013308)". Lineage: Eukaryota; Viridiplantae; Streptophyta; Magnoliopsida; Lamiales; Oleaceae. The record is from RNAcentral.
UUAAUUUCUAAAAACGCUCUCUAAAAAUUCUUUUAAAAAAUGAAAAACCCACUCUAAUAUUUUCACUUAUAGGUACGAAGUAACUCGAAUUUUUCUGUCCUCCCGUUCUAGACACCCAGUUUUUGAGCGGGAAGUAUUCUUCCUCCCGAAUCAAAUAGGGUUGCCUGUAAACCUGCAGAUUCUUUUAUGUUCUAUAGAUCAUGCAAUCGAAUAUAUUUGAUUGACUGAACUUCAUUUCAGCUUGAUGGGUAUGAAAUUUAAUUUCUAUGCGAUGAUGUGUUUUCUGAUUAUUAUUUUCUCAUUAGGAUAACUAUAAUUUGUAGAACAUAAGG